AGCGUACACGGUGGAUGCCCUGGCAGUCAGAGGCGAUGAAGGACGUGCUAAUCUGCGAUAAGCGUCGGUAAGGUGAUAUGAACCGUUAUAACCGGCGAUUUCCGAAUGGGGAAACCCAGUGUGAUUCGUCACACUAUCAUUAACUGAAUCCAUAGGUUAAUGAGGCGAACCGGGGGAACUGAAACAUCUAAGUACCCCGAGGAAAAGAAAUCAACCGAGAUUCCCCCAGUAGCGGCGAGCGAACGGGGAGCAGCCCAGAGCCUGAAUCAGUGUGUGUGUUAGUGGAAGCGUCUGGAAAGGCGCGCGAUACAGGGUGACAGCCCCGUACACAAAAAUGCACAUGCUGUGAGCUCGAUGAGUAGGGCGGGACACGUGGUAUCCUGUCUGAAUAUGGGGGGACCAUCCUCCAAGGCUAAAUACUCCUGACUGACCGAUAGUGAACCAGUACCGUGAGGGAAAGGCGAAAAGAACCCCGGCGAGGGGAGUGAAAAAGAACCUGAAACCGUGUACGUACAAGCAGUGGGAGCACGCUUAGGCGUGUGACUGCGUACCUUUUGUAUAAUGGGUCAGCGACUUAUAUUCUGUAGCAAGGUUAACCGAAUAGGGGAGCCGAAGGGAAACCGAGUCUUAACUGGGCGUUAAGUUGCAGGGUAUAGACCCGAAACCCGGUGAUCUAGCCAUGGGCAGGUUGAAGGUUGGGUAACACUAACUGGAGGACCGAACCGACUAAUGUUGAAAAAUUAGCGGAUGACUUGUGGCUGGGGGUGAAAGGCCAAUCAAACCGGGAGAUAGCUGGUUCUCCCCGAAAGCUAUUUAGGUAGCGCCUCGUGAAUUCAUCUCCGGGGGUAGAGCACUGUUUCGGCAAGGGGGUCAUCCCGACUUACCAACCCGAUGCAAACUGCGAAUACCGGAGAAUGUUAUCACGGGAGACACACGGCGGGUGCUAACGUCCGUCGUGAAGAGGGAAACAACCCAGACCGCCAGCUAAGGUCCCAAAGUCAUGGUUAAGUGGGAAACGAUGUGGGAAGGCCCAGACAGCCAGGAUGUUGGCUUAGAAGCAGCCAUCAUUUAAAGAAAGCGUAAUAGCUCACUGGUCGAGUCGGCCUGCGCGGAAGAUGUAACGGGGCUAAACCAUGCACCGAAGCUGCGGCAGCGACGCUUAUGCGUUGUUGGGUAGGGGAGCGUUCUGUAAGCCUGUGAAGGUGUGCUGUGAGGCAUGCUGGAGGUAUCAGAAGUGCGAAUGCUGACAUAAGUAACGAUAAAGCGGGUGAAAAGCCCGCUCGCCGGAAGACCAAGGGUUCCUGUCCAACGUUAAUCGGGGCAGGGUGAGUCGACCCCUAAGGCGAGGCCGAAAGGCGUAGUCGAUGGGAAACAGGUUAAUAUUCCUGUACUUGGUGUUACUGCGAAGGGGGGACGGAGAAGGCUAUGUUGGCCGGGCGACGGUUGUCCCGGUUUAAGCGUGUAGGCUGGUUUUCCAGGCAAAUCCGGAAAAUCAAGGCUGAGGCGUGAUGACGAGGCACUACGGUGCUGAAGCAACAAAUGCCCUGCUUCCAGGAAAAGCCUCUAAGCAUCAGGUAACAUCAAAUCGUACCCCAAACCGACACAGGUGGUCAGGUAGAGAAUACCAAGGCGCUUGAGAGAACUCGGGUGAAGGAACUAGGCAAAAUGGUGCCGUAACUUCGGGAGAAGGCACGCUGAUAUGUAGGUGAAGUCCCUCGCGGAUGGAGCUGAAAUCAGUCGAAGAUACCAGCUGGCUGCAACUGUUUAUUAAAAACACAGCACUGUGCAAACACGAAAGUGGACGUAUACGGUGUGACGCCUGCCCGGUGCCGGAAGGUUAAUUGAUGGGGUCAGCGCAAGCGAAGCUCUUGAUCGAAGCCCCGGUAAACGGCGGCCGUAACUAUAACGGUCCUAAGGUAGCGAAAUUCCUUGUCGGGUAAGUUCCGACCUGCACGAAUGGCGUAAUGAUGGCCAGGCUGUCUCCACCCGAGACUCAGUGAAAUUGAACUCGCUGUGAAGAUGCAGUGUACCCGCGGCAAGACGGAAAGACCCCGUGAACCUUUACUAUAGCUUGACACUGAACAUUGAGCCUUGAUGUGUAGGAUAGGUGGGAGGCUUUGAAGUGUGGACGCCAGUCUGCAUGGAGCCGACCUUGAAAUACCACCCUUUAAUGUUUGAUGUUCUAACGUUGACCCGUGAUCCGGGUUGCGGACAGUGUCUGGUGGGUAGUUUGACUGGGGCGGUCUCCUCCUAAAGAGUAACGGAGGAGCACGAAGGUUGGCUAAUCCUGGUCGGACAUCAGGAGGUUAGUGCAAUGGCAUAAGCCAGCUUGACUGCGAGCGUGACGGCGCGAGCAGGUGCGAAAGCAGGUCAUAGUGAUCCGGUGGUUCUGAAUGGAAGGGCCAUCGCUCAACGGAUAAAAGGUACUCCGGGGAUAACAGGCUGAUACCGCCCAAGAGUUCAUAUCGACGGCGGUGUUUGGCACCUCGAUGUCGGCUCAUCACAUCCUGGGGCUGAAGUAGGUCCCAAGGGUAUGGCUGUUCGCCAUUUAAAGUGGUACGCGAGCUGGGUUUAGAACGUCGUGAGACAGUUCGGUCCCUAUCUGCCGUGGGCGCUGGAGAACUGAGGGGGGCUGCUCCUAGUACGAGAGGACCGGAGUGGACGCAUCACUGGUGUUCGGGUUGUCAUGCCAAUGGCACUGCCCGGUAGCUAAAUGCGGAAGAGAUAAGUGCUGAAAGCAUCUAAGCACGAAACUUGCCCCGAGAUGAGUUCUCCCUGACUCCUUGA
This 2787-nucleotide ribosomal RNA is filed under the name Escherichia coli. RNAcentral's name for it is "bacterial LSU rRNA". It matches the Rfam family "Bacterial large subunit ribosomal RNA". Lineage: Bacteria; Pseudomonadati; Pseudomonadota; Gammaproteobacteria; Enterobacterales; Enterobacteriaceae. The record is from RNAcentral.